This 484-nucleotide ribosomal RNA is filed under the name uncultured bacterium. RNAcentral's name for it is "partial 16S ribosomal RNA". It matches the Rfam family "Bacterial small subunit ribosomal RNA", at positions 30 to 507 of the family's 1533-position model. The record is from RNAcentral.
AUUGAACGCUGGCGGCAGGCCUAACACAUGCAAGUCGAGCGGAUGAAGGGAGCUUGCUCCUGGAUUCAGCGGCGGACGGGUGAGUAAUGCCUAGGAAUCUGCCUGGUAGUGGGGGAUAACGUCCGGAAACGGGCGCUAAUACCGCAUACGUCCUGAGGGAGAAAGUGGGGGAUCUUCGGACCGCUCCCGCGGAUGGGAGCGUAGUUGGGGUUAGCUAGUUGGUGGGGUAAGGACCUACCAAGGCGAGGAUCGGUAACUGGCCGGAGAGGAUGAUCAGGCACACUGGAACUGAGACACGGUCCAGACUCCUACGGGAGGCAGCAGUGGGGAAUAUUGGACAAUGGGCGAAAGCCUGAUCCAGCCAUGCCGCGUGUGUGAAGAAGGUCUUCGGAUUGUAAAGCACUUUAAGUUGGGAGGAAGGGCAGUAAGUUAAUACCUUGCUGUUUUGACGUUACCAACAGAAUAAGCACCGGCUAACUUCGUG